Non-coding RNA from Acanthosepion pharaonis, 111 nucleotides. NCBI's taxonomy places the organism in Eukaryota, Metazoa, Mollusca, Cephalopoda, Sepiida, Sepiidae. The record is from the annotation of a GenBank genome assembly.
UACGGCUGUAUCACAUUGAAACACCGGUUCCUUUACAAUCAUCGAAGUUAAGCAACGUCGUGACCGGUCAGUACCUAGAUGGGUUACCGUUUGGGAAUACUAUGUGCUAUA